This 1009-nucleotide long non-coding RNA is filed under the name Junco hyemalis (dark-eyed junco). RNAcentral describes it as "lncRNA (ENSJHYG00000001787.1)". The record is from RNAcentral. Lineage: Eukaryota; Metazoa; Chordata; Aves; Passeriformes; Passerellidae.
AAUGGGGACACCAGGGGACAAUGGGGACAUUGGGGUGGCACAGGGAUAUUUGGGACAGAAGGGACACUGGGGACAAUGGGGGCAAUGGGGACAUUGAGGACACCGGGCACACGGGGACUUCCUGCGGCACGAGCGCCAGCGCUGCCUGACCUACGUGCAGGCGCUGGGGGCGUGGCUGGGCGGGGACAGCGGCGACAGCGCCACCCUCGGCGACAGCGCCAGCGCCGAGUGUCCCCCUGUCCCCGCGCCGCUCACCAAGUGCCACUCGAGCCCCUCGCUGGUGACAGAGCCACCCCCGGGCCGCGUGCGCCGCCACAUCUCGGAGCGCCGGGCCACGCGUGUCAUUGUCCCCAAAUGCCACCAGGACCAACUGUGACACCGUGGGAGUGUCACCAGGAGUGUCCCCAAGUGCCACCGGGACCAACUGUGACACCCCCAUGGGGACCCCGCCACAAAGUGCCACCCCCUGGGACAAGGGGACAUUCCCAAGUGCCACCCCUGUGACAGGGACAGUCCCCAAAGUGCCACCCCUGUGACAGGGACAGUCCCCAAUGUCCCCUCUGUGGGACAAGGGACACUUUAAGUGCCACCUCUGUGACAGGGACAUCCCCAAGUGCCACCCCCAGGACAGGGACACUCCCAAUGUCCCCAAUGCUGUCCCCAAUGUCCCCUCCCCCCCCCGGUACGAGGAUCCCCCCCAGGAUUGGGAACAACUCAGGGAAAUCCCAAAAAUCCCAAAUUCCCAAAAAUUCCCAAACUUCCCAAAAAUCCCCCAAAAAUUCCCCGUUCCCAAAAAAUCCCAAUCCCCAAAAUUCCCCCCAAAAUUCCCCGUUCCCCAAAAAUCCCAAAUUCCCAAAAAAUCCCAAUCCCCAAAAUUCCCAAUCCCGAAGGAAUUUGGGGCAGAAUUUGGGAUUUCUGGAGGGAAUUUGGGAUUUUUGGGAUGAAAUUUGGGAUCCCCUCGCUGUGGUUGUGCAAUAAAGGUUCGGAAUUCCGGGAUUUUGGAGAAUUU